RNAcentral lists this ribosomal RNA (336 nucleotides) under uncultured Anaerolineaceae bacterium. RNAcentral's name for it is "bacterial SSU rRNA". It matches the Rfam family "Bacterial small subunit ribosomal RNA", at positions 1031 to 1382 of the family's 1533-position model. Lineage: Bacteria; Bacillati; Chloroflexota; Anaerolineae; Anaerolineales; Anaerolineaceae. The record is from RNAcentral.
UAUACAGGUGUUGCAUGGCUGUCGUCAGCUCGUGUCGUGAGAUGUUCGGUUAAGUCCGCUAACGAGCGCAACCCUCGUCGUAUGUUAUAUGUGUCAUACGAGACUGCCGGUAAAAGCCGGAGGAAGGUGAGGAUGAUGUCAAGUCAGCAUGACCUUUAUAUCCAGGGCUACACACACGCUACAGUGGUCUGUACAAUGGGUAGCCAAGCCGCGAGGCGGAGCCAAUCCUGAAAGCAGGCCUCAGUUCAGAUUGCAGUCUGCAACUCGACUGCAUGAAGCCGGAGUUGCUAGUAACCGCAGGUCAGCAAUACUGCGGUGAAUACGUUCCCGGGUCUU